RNAcentral lists this non-coding RNA (28 nucleotides) under Mus musculus (house mouse). The record is from RNAcentral. Lineage: Eukaryota; Metazoa; Chordata; Mammalia; Rodentia; Muridae.
UCCAGUGAAUGAUGGCCUGUUUGGGGAC